CUGGUUUAUUCCCUUUGUCAGUUAAAGAAGGCGGGAGAAAUCUCAAGAGUGACAGGUAGCAGUGAAGAAAUCUCAAACACAGAAAACAGGAGCAGACAGAAUUUACAGUUGAAGAAAGGGGAUGAGGAAACAUGCGUGCAGUGGACGCACAGAGGGGAUAAAACCCUCUGCUAAACAGAGAGGACUCGGGAACCUCCCCUAAUUUAGGGUUGGUUGGUUUGAAAAACAGCUAGGACAGUUGUUGAUGUAACUUGUCAGACCUUGAAUUUGUCGAGCCAGUCCAUCAGCAGAGGGUGCUGCUGAGAGACAGCAGUUAGCAAGCCUUUGUUUUAAACUGUCUGGCUUUUGUGGAAGGUCAGGAAGAUACUUAUCCUGGAAUGUCUUUUUGCUGUGUAAAUCAAGAAUACUGGCUUCUCUGAGUAGAAAUGUCAGAAAAAGACACCUUAGGCUGCUACAGAGGACAAGGUAGGGUUUCACACUGCUGCUGUUGUGACCGUUGUGUUUUAUGACCGUUGUG
RNAcentral lists this long non-coding RNA (517 nucleotides) under Rattus norvegicus (Norway rat). Its description in RNAcentral is "long non-coding RNA NONRATT032016". The record is from RNAcentral. Lineage: Eukaryota; Metazoa; Chordata; Mammalia; Rodentia; Muridae.